UGGUAUUUGUGGUGGCUGUUGGUGGUGUCGACAUUUGUGGUGUUUGUGGCAUUGGGUGGUGUUUGUGGUGGUGGCUGUUGGUAUGUCAGUAUUGGUGGUGUUUGUAAUGUAUUCUUUAAAAUUUAUGCAUACAUCAACUGUAAUGUAAUUUAUGUUUUUCUGUUGUUUAUAGGUAAAACAUGUCUCCCAAACGAAAAAAAGUGAAAGUGGAUUAAUAUCUAACCAC
RNAcentral lists this long non-coding RNA (226 nucleotides) under Capsicum annuum. RNAcentral describes it as "long non-coding RNA (CANN_LNC017624)". The record is from RNAcentral. Lineage: Eukaryota; Viridiplantae; Streptophyta; Magnoliopsida; Solanales; Solanaceae.